UCUUGUUGGUGAGGUAACGGCCCACCAAGGCGACGACGGGUAGCCGGCCUGAGAGGGCGACCGGCCACACUGGGACUGAGACACGGCCCAUACUCCUACGGGAGGCAGCAGUGGGGAAUAUUGCUCAAUGGGCGAAAGCCUGAUGCAGCGACGCCGCGUGAGGGAAGAAGGCCUUCGGGUUGUAAACCUCUUUCAGCUCCGACGAAGGGCAACUGACGGUAUGAGCAGAAGAAGCGCCGGCCAAUUACGUGCCAGCAGCCGCGGUAAGACGUAGGGCGCAAGCGUUGUCCGGAUUUAUUGGGCGUAAAGAGCUCGUAGGCGGCUUGUUGCGUCGACUGUGAAAACCCGCGGCUCAACCGUGCGGUCUGCAGUCGAUACGGGCAGGCUAUAGUUCGGUAGGGGAGACUGGAAUUCCUGGUGUAGCGGUGAAAUGCGCACAUAUCAGGAGGAACACCUGUGGCGAAGGCGGGUCUCUGGGCCGAUACUGACGCUGAGGAGCGAAAGCGUGGGGAGCGAACAGGAUUAGAUACCCUGUUAGUCCACGCUGUAUUCGUUGGGCGCUAGGUGUGGGGGACCUCUCCGGUCCUCUGUGCCGCAGCUAACGCAUUAAGCGCCCCGCCUGGGGUAGUACGGA
Molecule: ribosomal RNA, 634 nt
Filed under: uncultured Actinomycetes bacterium
Lineage: Bacteria; Bacillati; Actinomycetota; Actinomycetes
Description: bacterial SSU rRNA
Rfam family: Bacterial small subunit ribosomal RNA
Source: RNAcentral